AACGAACGCUGGCGGCGUGCCUAACACAUGCAAGUCGAGCGCGAAAGUCCCUUCGGGGGCGAGUAGAGCGGCGGACGGGUGAGUAAUACAUGGAUAAUCUGCCCUCGAGAUCGGGAUAACCCUGCGAAAGUGGGGCUAAUACCGAAUAAGACCACACAACACAAGUUGUGUGGUAAAAGGUGGCUUGAAUUUAUUCUGGCUAUCACUUGAGGAUGAGUCCAUGGCCUAUCAGCUUGUUGGUGGGGUAAUGGCCUACCAAGGCUAUGACAGGUAGCUGGUCUGAGAGGACGACCAGCCACACUGGGACUGAGACACGGCCCAGACUCCUACGGGAGGCAGCAGUGGGGAAUAUUGGGCAAUGGGCGAAAGCCUGACCCAGCGACGCCGCGUGGGUGAUGAAGGCCUUCGGGUUGUAAAGCCCUUUCGUGCGGAAAGAACAGUCCUGUGGCGAAUACUCGCAGGAUUUGACGGUACCGCAGGAAGAAGCACCGGCUAACUCCG
Molecule: ribosomal RNA, 501 nt
Filed under: uncultured bacterium
Lineage: Bacteria
Description: bacterial SSU rRNA
Rfam family: Bacterial small subunit ribosomal RNA
Source: RNAcentral